This 616-nucleotide ribosomal RNA is filed under the name Escherichia coli. RNAcentral describes it as "partial 23S ribosomal RNA". It matches the Rfam family "Bacterial large subunit ribosomal RNA", at positions 606 to 1222 of the family's 2925-position model. Lineage: Bacteria; Pseudomonadati; Pseudomonadota; Gammaproteobacteria; Enterobacterales; Enterobacteriaceae. The record is from RNAcentral.
UUUUGUAUAAUGGGUCAGCGACUUAUAUUCUGUAGCAAGGUUAACCGAAUAGGGGAGCCGAAGGGAAACCGAGUCUUAACUGGGCGUUAAGUUGCAGGGUAUAGACCCGAAACCCGGUGAUCUAGCCAUGGGCAGGUUGAAGGUUGGGUAACACUAACUGGAGGACCGAACCGACUAAUGUUGAAAAAUUAGCGGAUGACUUGUGGCUGGGGGUGAAAGGCCAAUCAAACCGGGAGAUAGCUGGUUCUCCCCGAAAGCUAUUUAGGUAGCGCCUCGUGAAUUCAUCUCCGGGGGUAGAGCACUGUUUCGGCAAGGGGGUCAUCCCGACUUACCAACCCGAUGCAAACUGCGAAUACCGGAGAAUGUUAUCACGGGAGACACACGGCGGGUGCUAACGUCCGUCGUGAAGAGGGAAACAACCCAGACCGCCAGCUAAGGUCCCAAAGUCAUGGUUAAGUGGGAAACGAUGUGGGAAGGCCCAGACAGCCAGGAUGUUGGCUUAGAAGCAGCCAUCAUUUAAAGAAAGCGUAAUAGCUCACUGGUCGAGUCGGCCUGCGCGGAAGAUGUAACGGGGCUAAACCAUGCACCGAAGCUGCGGCAGCGACGCUUAUGCGUU